This is a long non-coding RNA of Podarcis muralis (Common wall lizard), 1416 nucleotides long. RefSeq lists it as uncharacterized. The record is from RefSeq and is a predicted model, not a curated record. Lineage: Eukaryota; Metazoa; Chordata; Lepidosauria; Squamata; Lacertidae.
UUUCCCCCUGCAGAACGGCCGCCGAAUGGAACCGAAUGAAAGGGAGGACCGCGUUUCCCCAAAAGCACCGCGGCGCGGCGUCUGAGCUACGGGUCGCGAGAAGGAGCAAAACGCGCUCACCAGGUGCUGUCCGUGCCCCUUUGGGAUAGGGACUGAUGCGGGAGGGAGGAGGAAGAGGAUGGAGGAGAAGGCCCUGCGCAGCGGGAGCAGCUCCAGCAGCACCAAGCCCUACCUGGAGAAGCUCACCCUGGGGGUGACCCGCAUCCUAGGGUACAUCUGCCCCAUUGAAAAUCCUGUUUAUCGUUUCCGAAUCUGUUUCUGCAGUAAAGGACGUAAAGUGGAAUAUCGUUCAUCUAUGGCCGACUGCGAUGUGAUGCGAAGAGUCACUAGCAGACCUGGUUACGUUAAAAGACCUGGGUCUAGAGUCAGGCUAGUUACUUAUCCAGACCUCAUGGCGAGUUCUUUUUGCUGAGUUGCUCUUCAGAUGCCCUUAUGUCCAAAGGGGCUCCAAGAGAGCUAACCAACCAGCGGGCCAUUUCCCCUCUUGCAGGAUGGCUUUCUUCUUAAAGAAGAAGAAAAGUUCAUCAAAAGUUUAUCCAGUUAAUUUACAAGAGAGUGUCGGCCAGGACCCUGCUGCCCAAAGAACAUACCAACUCUUGCCAAUGCUGGUGAAGCCUCCUCAAGCACGUGCAGAGGCCUGGAGGAAGAACCAAGUCCAGCCAGCUGUUUUCCCUGAGUUACUACUGCACCAGGCCAGUACAGUUCAGCGGGUCAGCAGCAGACCAGACGAAAAGCAUUCUGGGCCAGUGUUCCCAGGUGCGUCUUAUGGAGCGAAAGAUACAGUUUUAGUUUGGCAUUUGCGUUCCCUUUUAAUAAGAAUAAUAAGUGCUGGGGUGGCCAGAGAUUCACACUGUGGCCCGAAAUAACAAGGUGGAGCCAGUAGUCUUCCCAGAGCUGGUACAGCGUCAGAUCAACAGCCGGUCAACAGAAAGCCAGACUCCAGGCAGCAGCAGCACUUGUCCCUGAGGAAAAAGAAGAGCCCUGAGGAUUCUGGGCCAGUGUUCCCAGAAGGAAUGAGCAAGUGAAAAAAACAGGAUGCCAGACUAGGUGCAGCAUGAGGGAUUUACAGGUAAAUCAGAAGGACAAAUAGUUGAUAAUGGUAGCAUUUGUGGAUACUUGAUUUCUAUGGUGUAGACAGUGUAUACAAAAGGAUUUAGGCAGAUUCCUGUUUUUCCCAUGUUUAUUGAUGCCUAUGUAUUGUUUGUUUUUCUGAUUUUUCAGGAAGACUUUGAGUGAUGCCUGGAGCAGAUCCAUAAGAGAGGAAACGAAGACAGGAUUUUGGGUGUUUUCCGGUACUUUGCAUAUAUAAGUGUGAUUGUAUAGCCUUGUUUUGAAUAAAGUCAUUCAACUUGUGAA